GCCUCCUCCGACGAGUCACGUUGCCUAGCAACCGCUGUCUGCCGCCGGGGCCCGAACGCCGGAGUCCUAACCCCGGGCCCCUAACGCCGGAGCCCUAACACCGGGCCCCUAACACCGGAGUCCUAACGCCGGGCCCCGAACGCCGGGCCCCUAACCCCGGGCCCCUAACGCCGGAGCCCUAACCCCGGGCCCCUAACGCCGGAGCCCUAACGCCGGGCCCUAUCGCCGGGCCCUAACCCCGGGCCCCUAACGCCGGAGCCCUAACGCUGCAUCCAGCCCGCUGGCGCACUUACCCUGCUCUGCAUCGAUAACAAGACAAGUACACCACAGGCAGGGUGGAUAAUCAAUACAGCUGGACAAUCUCCCUAAAGAAAAAUCUAUCUGUUUUUAAAACCAGGAAGAAAGGAAACGGGGAACUGCACAGAUAAAGCAACUGUAACUGACACCAGCUGGACCAGCCUAGCUUGUUAGAGAGUAGAAGUAAACAAGUCCCUGGGGGUGACUGAAAUGAUCCUUUGAAGCAACCAGCUUUGACGUUUGGAAAAAAGAAUUAAAAAACAAAAGAAUGCUCUAAUUAAGGAAAACAUCAGUUAAAGCUCAAGAAGAAAUCUGAUUUUGAUCAGUUCUUUCAUGUAUGCCUGACAACUGCACAGCAUUAGCAGAGGGGCUCAUUAGAGGAUGCUUACCCAAAGUCCAGAUCAAGAAGCAGAAACACCAGUGAGUGAUAUGCAAGACUGCUGUGUGGAGGAAAAUUAAACAUUUGCUAACCUUCACAUAACACAGGUUGUGAUCUACUGUCCAAGUAGUUCAGGAAGAGAGAACUUUUGUUUACAGUGGGGUUAUUUAACACUGUUUCAGAAGUGAAAAUGGGUUCAAAAGGUAUGUUCUCCAGUGUUGGUGUCACAGACAAUCAAAUUGUCUGAGUCCUCAUGCUUGCCCAUAGGUCUGCUUAAUUGUAGCUGUGUGAAUUAAUGAAUAUAUGGCAAGAGAAA
Cyanistes caeruleus (blue tit) is the source of this 992-nucleotide non-coding RNA. The record is from RefSeq and is a predicted model, not a curated record. Lineage: Eukaryota; Metazoa; Chordata; Aves; Passeriformes; Paridae.